CCUACGGGUGGCAGCAGUGAGGAAUAUUGGUCAAUGGACGAGAGUCUGAACCAGCCAAGUAGCGUGAAGGAUGACUGCCCUAUGGGUUGUAAACUUCUUUUAUAAAGGAAUAAAACGAGGCACGUGUGCCUUUUUGCAUGUACUUUAUGAAUAAGGAUCGGCUAACUCCGUGCCAGCAGCCGCGGUAAUACGGAGGAUCCGAGCGUUAUCCGGAUUUAUUGGGUUUAAAGGGUGCGUAGAUGGGAUGUUAAGUCAGUUGUGAAAGUUUGCGGCUCAACCGUAAAAUUGCAGUUGAUACUGGCAGUCUUGAGUACAGUUGAGGUAGGCGGAAUGCGUGGUGUAGCGGUGAAAUGCGUAGAUAUCACGAAGAACCCCGAUUGCGAAGGCAGCUUACUAAACUGUAACUGACAUUGAUGCUCGAAAGUGUGGGGAUCAAACAGGAUUAGAUACCCCAGUAGUC
Molecule: ribosomal RNA, 460 nt
Filed under: uncultured bacterium
Lineage: Bacteria
Description: partial 16S ribosomal RNA
Rfam family: Bacterial small subunit ribosomal RNA
Source: RNAcentral